AUGUCAGUAGUUUAAAUGGCAAAACAUUAGUCUUCCAAACUUAGAAAGCAAGUUCAAUUCUUGCCUGACAUA
RNAcentral lists this transfer RNA (72 nucleotides) under Capsaspora owczarzaki. RNAcentral's name for it is "tRNA-Gly". It matches the Rfam family "tRNA". Rfam says of the family: Transfer RNA (tRNA) molecules are approximately 80 nucleotides in length. Their secondary structure includes four short double-helical elements and three loops (D, anti-codon, and T loops). Lineage: Eukaryota; Filasterea; Ministeriida; Capsasporidae. The record is from RNAcentral.